AGAGUUUGAUUCUGGCUCAGGAUGAACGCUGGCGGCGUGCUUAACACAUGCAAGUCGAACGGAGUUUUAACGGAAGUUUCGGGUGGAAGUUUAAGAACUUAGUGGCGGACGGGUGAGUAACGCGUGGGUAACCUGCCUCAGUACAGGGGGAUAACAGUUAGAAAUGACUGCUAACACCGCAUAAUAUAGCGAAACCGCAUGAUUUUGCUAUCAAAUAUUUAUAGGUAUGAGAUGGGCCCGCGUCUGAUUAGCUAGUUGGCGGGGUAAAAGCCUACCAGGGCGACGAUCAGUAGCCGGCUUGAGAGAGUGACCGGCCACAUUGGGACUGAGACACGGCCCAAACUCCUACGGGAGGCAGCAGUGGGGAAUAUUGGACAAUGGGGGAAACCCUGAUCCAGCGACGCCCGCGUGAGUGAAGAAGUAUUUCGGUAUGUAAAGCUCUAUCAGCAGGGAAGAUAAUGACAGUACCUGACUAAGAAGCCCCGGCUAACUACGUGCCAGCAGCUGC
This 508-nucleotide ribosomal RNA is filed under the name uncultured bacterium. Its description in RNAcentral is "bacterial SSU rRNA". It matches the Rfam family "Bacterial small subunit ribosomal RNA", at positions 8 to 518 of the family's 1533-position model. The record is from RNAcentral.